AUGCACGGAAAGGGGGCACCGGGGCACAGGGUGAGGGUUGGCUACCACAACCGGAAGUGCCCCGCGGCGGAGAUUAUCGUCAGGGUCGUUGUCGGCAAGGCCGUCUCCCGGAACCCCGGCCUCGGGGCCGGCAUCAUUCGCAUGGCUUUCCACGACUGCUUCGUCCAGGGCAGUGACGCGUCGGUGCUGCUGGACGCGACUCCGGCGAACCCGCGGCCGGAGAAGCUCGGCCCGCCCAACUUCCCCAGCCUGCGUGGCUUCGAGGUGAUCGACGCGGCCAAGGCGGUCCUUGAGAGGGUCUGCCCUGGAGUCGUCUCCUGCGCCGACGUCAUCGCCUUCGCCGCACGCGACUCCGCCUUCUUCCUCAGUAGCAGCAGGAUCGACUACAAGAUGCCGGCGGGGCGGUUCGACGGCCGUGUCUUCAAGGCCAAGAACAUGAACGAGGACGACCUCGUGGUGCUCUCCGGCGCGCACACCAUCGGCGUCUCACACAGCUCCUCCUUCACCGACCGCUUGCCCCCGAACCCCUCCGACAUGAACCCUGGCCUCACCAGGCUGCUGCAGAUAGGACUGGACACACCUAUCGUCGCAACAAUGGACAAGCAAAAGGGGAAGGCGAGUGGGAAGGAGAAGGAGAAAGAGAGGACGUUGGACUCCAUUAUGAAGAGAAAGUUGCCGGUCUCGGGGAUGCACAAGGGGAAUGGGAAGGGCAAUGCAGUAGCUACUACACGGCUGCCGAGGAAGCUGACAAAUGAUUCCAGCAAUGUCCCAAUCGCUGAGUUGUUGUAUAGGGUAAAAAAGAAACCUCCGCCUCGACGUCCCUCUGACCCCACCGGCACUGGCAUGCGUGCCGGAAUCACCGUUGCCUCCGGCUCCGCAAACUACUAUGAGAGGGAGGCUACAUCUUCACAGUCGCAGAAAAGGGAUGAAGAUGAGGAGGACGAUGUUGAGAAUAUCAAGUUGCCCAAGAUUGUUGAUGUGGGGGGUGACAACAAUUGCCCCAACUUCACCAACGACCCCACGGUGGUGCAGGACAUCAUCACCCCCAACCGGAUGGACAACCAGUACUACACCAACCUGCUCAAGCGCAACGUCCUCUUCACCUCUGACGUGGCGUUGCUGACGUCGGGGAAGACGGUGCUGAAGGUGAUGGAGAACGCUUUCAAACCCGGGAGCUGGGAGAAGAAGUUUGCCAAGGCGAUGGUCAAGAUGGCUGCCAUCAAGCUCAAGACCGCUGCCAACGGGGAGAUCAGGAGGAACUGCAGGGUCGUCAACAAAUAA
RNAcentral lists this ribosomal RNA (1281 nucleotides) under Triticum aestivum (bread wheat). RNAcentral describes it as "partial small subunit ribosomal RNA". The record is from RNAcentral. Lineage: Eukaryota; Viridiplantae; Streptophyta; Magnoliopsida; Poales; Poaceae.